UGCAGUCGAGCGAUGAUGCCCAGCUUGCUGGGUGGAUUAGUGGCGAACGGGUGAGUAACACGUGAGUAACCUGCCCCUGACUUCGGGAUAAGCGCUGGAAACGGCGUCUAAUACCGGAUACGAGCUUUCACCGCAUGGUGGUUGUUGGAAAGUUUUUCGGUCAGGGAUGGGCUCGCGGCCUAUCAGCUUGUUGGUGGGGUGAUGGCCUACCAAGGCGACGACRGGUAGCCGGCCUGAGAGGGCGACCGGCCACACUGGGACUGAGACACGGCCCAGACUCCUACGGGAGGCAGCAGUGGGGAAUAUUGCRCAAUGGGCGAAAGCCUGAUGCAGCGACGCCGCGUGAGGGAUGACGGCCUUCGGGUUGUAAACCUCUUUCAGCAGGGAAGAAGCGCAAGUGACGGUACCUGCAGAAGAAGCGCCGGCUAACUACGUGCCAGCAGCCGCGGUAAUACGUAGGGCGCACGCGUUGUCCGGAAUUAUUGGGCGUAAAGAGCUCGUAGGCGGUUUGUCGCGUCUGGUGUGAAAACUCGAGGCUCAACCUCKAGCUUGCAUCGGGUACRGGCAGACUAGAGUGCGGUACGGGAGACUGAAAUUCCUGAUGUAGCGCUGCUAUG
RNAcentral lists this ribosomal RNA (617 nucleotides) under Cellulosimicrobium sp. RNAcentral describes it as "bacterial SSU rRNA". The record is from RNAcentral. Lineage: Bacteria; Bacillati; Actinomycetota; Actinomycetes; Micrococcales; Promicromonosporaceae.